This 468-nucleotide ribosomal RNA is filed under the name uncultured bacterium. Its description in RNAcentral is "partial 16S ribosomal RNA". It matches the Rfam family "Bacterial small subunit ribosomal RNA", at positions 28 to 507 of the family's 1533-position model. The record is from RNAcentral.
GACGAACGCUGGCGGCGUGCUUAACACAUGCAAGUCGAACGGAAAGGCCCUGCUUUUGUGGGGUGCUCGAGUGGCGAACGGGUGAGUAACACGUGAGUAACCUGCCCUUGACUUUGGGAUAACUUCAGGAAACUGGGGCUAAUACCGGAUAGGAGCUCCUGCUGCAUGGUGGGGGUUGGAAAGUUUCGGCGGUUGGGGAUGGACUCGCGGCUUAUCAGCUUGUUGGUGGGGUAGUGGCUUACCAAGGCUUUGACGGGUAGCCGGCCUGAGAGGGUGACCGGCCACAUUGGGACUGAGAUACGGCCCAGACUCCUACGGGAGGCAGCAGUCGGGAAUAUUGCACAGUGGGCGGAAGCCUGAUGCAGCAACGCCGCGUGCGGGAUGACGGCCUUCGGGUUGUAAACCGCUUUCGCAUGUGACGAAGCGUGAGUGACGGUAAUGGGUAAAGAAGCACCGGCUAACUACGUG